GAGCUAACUGAGUUUUCUGGGAAGACCUAUGAUGGUACUUUACAGCUAUGCAGAAAAGGAAAACUUCCUGCCAAUGAGCCCCAUCCAAAUGAACAAGUAAACUACAAGAACAGUUGCCUGGCAGGUAAAUAAAAGUGGAGAUGUUUGGCUUUCAUACUUUAGUUGUAUUUCAUUUACUGAAACCGAUUUAAUUAUUUAUUUUUAAAUAUUGAAAACUCUCAACCUGAGGUGAACAAACAGAGGAAAAAAAUUCCACCAAGACAGAGAAAUGAGAAGCUAGUGUUCUGUAACAUGGCUAUAAAUCUGCCACCAAAUAACACAGGAAUACUUAGGAGCUUGAUCCUGUAAAGCUCUGCCCUACAAGAGGAGUCUUGCUCAGGCAAGUAGGUGCAAUGCAGUCAAGCCAGAGCAGGUAUUUCUAUUGUUUAUCUCUGAAUAAUAUUAAGCAGUGGAGAUAUUAUGGAGCCAUGCAGAUGGGGGGGAUUCCGUAGCCAGCUGCUGCCCUUCAGAAUCCCUUUCAAAGGGAUUCUCUCUUGGAGGAAGUGGUGGUGGGACACCA
Long non-coding RNA from Dermochelys coriacea (leatherback sea turtle), 559 nucleotides. RefSeq lists it as uncharacterized. NCBI's taxonomy places the organism in Eukaryota, Metazoa, Chordata, Testudines, Dermochelyidae. The transcript has 3 exons. The record is from RefSeq and is a predicted model, not a curated record.